AGAGUUUGAUCCUGGCUCAGGAUAAACGCUGGCGGCGUGCCUAACACAUGCAAGUCGAACGGGCUUAACAUGAAACCUAGUGAUUGUUAAGUUAGUGGCGGACGGGUGAGUAACGCGUGGAUAACCUGCCGUAUGCAGGGGGAUAACAGUUGGAAACAGCUGCUAAUACCGCAUAAGCGCACAGUACCGCAUGGUACGGUGUGAAAAGAUUUAUCGGCAUACGAUGGAUCCGCGUCCGAUUAGCCAGUUGGCGGGGUAACGGCCCACCAAAGCGACGAUCGGUAGCCGGCCUGAGAGGGCGGACGGCCACAUUGGGACUGAGACACGGCCCAAACUCCUACGGGAGGCAGCAGUGGGGAAUAUUGCACAAUGGGGGAAACCCUGAUACAGCGACGCCGCGUGAGUGAAGAAGUAUCUCGGUAUGUAAAGCUCUAUCAGCAGGGAAGAAAAUGACGGUACCUGACUAAGAAGCCCCGGCUAACUACGUG
This 488-nucleotide ribosomal RNA is filed under the name uncultured Lachnospiraceae bacterium. RNAcentral describes it as "bacterial SSU rRNA". It matches the Rfam family "Bacterial small subunit ribosomal RNA", at positions 8 to 507 of the family's 1533-position model. Lineage: Bacteria; Bacillati; Bacillota; Clostridia; Lachnospirales; Lachnospiraceae. The record is from RNAcentral.